GAAUAUUGGACAAUGGGCGCAAGCCUGAUCCAGCAAUGCCGCGUGAGUGAGGAAGGCCUUAGGGUUGUAAAGCUCUUUCACCCGCGACGAUGAUGACGGUAGCGGGAGAAGAAGCCCCGGCUAACUUCGUGCCAGCAGCCGCGGUAAUACGAAGGGGGCGAGCGUUGUUCGGAUUUACUGGGCGUAAAGGGCGCGCAGGCGGCUCCAUAUGUCAGGCGUGAAAGCCCCGGGCUUAACCUGGGAACUGCGUUUGAUACGGUGGGGCUAGAGUUCGGGAGAGGAGAGUGGAAUUCCCAGUGUAGAGGUGAAAUUCGUAGAUAUUGGGAAGAACACCGGUGGCGAAGGCGGCUCUCUGGACCGAGACUGACGCUGAGGCGCGAAAGCGUGGGGAGCAAACAG
This 399-nucleotide ribosomal RNA is filed under the name uncultured bacterium. RNAcentral describes it as "bacterial SSU rRNA". It matches the Rfam family "Bacterial small subunit ribosomal RNA", at positions 359 to 775 of the family's 1533-position model. The record is from RNAcentral.